This 547-nucleotide long non-coding RNA is filed under the name Neogobius melanostomus (round goby). RNAcentral describes it as "lncRNA (ENSNMLG00000005590.1)". Lineage: Eukaryota; Metazoa; Chordata; Actinopteri; Gobiiformes; Gobiidae. The record is from RNAcentral.
GAGCAUUCGUGGUGGGCUUCAGAUUGGCAACAAUGCCGGUAGUGUGCGCUGUUUACGGUUGCUCCAAUCGCUCUAACAGAGACAUUAAAAGCUAUUAUCGAGUUCCUAAAGUAGUCACACAUAAGGGCGAAAAGUGGAAGAAAAUAAGCGAAAGAAGACGCAAGAAAUGGUUGGAAAAUUUAAGGUUGAUGUCGCGGGGAGCGAAGUCAGCAAAUGCCCGCGUCUGUAGUGACCACUUCGUCACUGGUUUUCCAAGUAAGCUUGAAGAGUCCACAUCGGUCGAUUGGGCCCCGACUGUAAACCUCGGGUAUGACAACACGCCCAAGCCCGAAUCACUCUCCUCUCACCUUCGCACGGACAGGAUUAAGGGCCGCAACAAGAUGCAAGACGUAUUGCAAGGUGGUGGAGAAAGCUCACAGGAUGUCCCCGAUGAGCUGUUCAUCAACUCUGAAGAUGCUGGCUGUCAAACUGACCUCACAAUGGAAGACAUUGAAAGGAUGGAAGAUGUGCUAAAAGACAUCACUAAAGAACUAGCAGAGCUGCGGGC